CACCGGCGGCUCGAGUGGUGGCCACUUUUAUUGGGUCUAAAGCGUCCGUAGCCGGCUUGGCAAGUCCCCUGGGAAAUCUGGCGGCUUAACCGUCAGGCGUCCAGAGGAUACUGCCAGGCUUGGGACCGGGAGAGGUGAGAGGUACCUCAGGGGUAGGGGUGAAAUCCUGUAAUCCUGAGGGGACCACCGGUGGCGAAGGCGUCUCACUAGAACGGGUCCGACGGUCAGGGACGAAAGCUGGGGGCACGAACCGG
RNAcentral lists this ribosomal RNA (254 nucleotides) under uncultured microorganism. Its description in RNAcentral is "partial 16S ribosomal RNA". It matches the Rfam family "Archaeal small subunit ribosomal RNA", at positions 474 to 727 of the family's 1478-position model. The record is from RNAcentral.